Molecule: transfer RNA, 73 nt
Filed under: Trichonephila inaurata madagascariensis
Lineage: Eukaryota; Metazoa; Arthropoda; Arachnida; Araneae; Nephilidae
Rfam family: tRNA
About the family: Transfer RNA (tRNA) molecules are approximately 80 nucleotides in length.
Source: Rfam by way of RNAcentral
GUCCUUGUAACGCAAUCGAUAGCGCGUUGGACUUCUCAUCCAAAGGUCGUGGGUUCAAGUCCCACCUGGGAUA